CAGUCGCCACGGGAAUACGUAGGUGGCAAGCGUUGUCCGGAAUUAUUGGGCGUAAAGGGCUCGCAGGCGGUUUCAUAAGUCUGAUGUGAAAGCCCCGGGCUCAACCGGGGAGGGUCAUUGGAAACUGGGAAACUUGAGUGCAGAAGAGGAGAGUGGAAUUCCACGUGUAGCGGUGAAAUGCGUAGAGAUGUGGAGGAACACCAGUGGCGAAGGCGACUCUCUGGUAUGUAACUGACGCUGAGGAGCGAAAGCGUGGGGAGCGAACAGGAUUAGAGACCCGUGUAGUCCCUGUCUCUUAUAA
This 301-nucleotide ribosomal RNA is filed under the name uncultured bacterium. Its description in RNAcentral is "partial 16S ribosomal RNA". It matches the Rfam family "Bacterial small subunit ribosomal RNA", at positions 509 to 809 of the family's 1533-position model. The record is from RNAcentral.